Long non-coding RNA from Xiphophorus couchianus (Monterrey platyfish), 389 nucleotides. RefSeq lists it as uncharacterized. The transcript is spliced from 3 exons. Lineage: Eukaryota; Metazoa; Chordata; Actinopteri; Cyprinodontiformes; Poeciliidae. The record is from RefSeq and is a predicted model, not a curated record.
GAGAGAGAGAAAGAUGCACAACUCGACCACAACAUCGCAUCAGAUCACAUCAGACUCCUGUGCGUCUGACUUUCUGCUCUCUCUCUUCUCAGUUUCCUAAAGCAGCGGGCGUUUCUUUCAUUUCCCGGACCACAGCGCUGGUUGAACGUGCCUCAUGCGCCACCUUUUGGACUCGGAGAGAAAAAACACCUGCAGGUGCGAUUCAUCCUUCAAAAUCAGAUGUUUGGAAACGAGAAUCAGUCAGCGCACUUUGGGCCUUGUGAUUUUUGAAGUGCAAAGAUUUACGACCGACACCUACUCACAGGUUCCAGGGGCCAGAUAACAAUCCAGAUUCAUACAAGUGACCAACCUGCCACAAGUUUGCUCUUCAGCGAAGCCUCUGAGGCCAG